This 74-nucleotide transfer RNA is filed under the name Candidatus Woesearchaeota archaeon. RNAcentral describes it as "tRNA-Arg". It matches the Rfam family "tRNA". Rfam says of the family: Transfer RNA (tRNA) molecules are approximately 80 nucleotides in length. Lineage: Archaea; Nanobdellati; Candidatus Woesearchaeota. The record is from RNAcentral.
GGGCUCGUAGUAUAGCUUGGAUAGUACGAUCGGCUUCGGACCGAUAAACCAGGGUUCAAAUCCUUGCGAGCCCG